This 781-nucleotide long non-coding RNA is filed under the name Panax ginseng (ginseng). Its description in RNAcentral is "long non-coding RNA (PGIN_LNC001956)". Lineage: Eukaryota; Viridiplantae; Streptophyta; Magnoliopsida; Apiales; Araliaceae. The record is from RNAcentral.
CAACUAUAAAAGGAACAAUAUAUCUGAAUUUAAGAAUAUUAUUAUAGGGUAUCUAUUGAAAAAUAGUGUAUAUCAAGUAUAUGGGAUUUUUAUAUAUUAUUCUUUUUUUUAAGAUUACCUCGUAUAGGCUAAGUGAUUCCUUAGUAGUGGUGAGGAGGAGGAGGAGGAGGCGAAGUGUAGUAAUAAUGGGUCGGUGGUGGUGGUGACUUGUGAACCGGUGGUGGUGGUGGGGAUUUGUACUUGUAAACUGGUGGGGGUGGCGGUGGUGAUUUGUAGUGGUAAGGAGGGGGAGGGGAGUGCACCGGCGGAGGUGGUGGUGGUGAUUUGUAGUGGUAAGGAGGAGGUGGUGAGUGCACCGGAGGUGGCGGUGGUGGUGAUUUAUAGUGGUAAGGAGGGGGUGGUGAGUGUACCGGAGGUGGCGGUGGUGGUGACUUGUAGUGGUAAGGUGGUGGUGGUGAGUGCACCGGAGGAGGCGGUGGUGGUGGUGAUUUGUACUUGUAAGGAGGAGGAGGUGGUGGUUUUGGGGAUUUCUUAGGAGGUGGAGGAGAGGAGUAAGAGUAAUUUGCUGUGGUUUCUGAUGGCAAAUUGAGAGACACUAAUACCACUAGAAAAGUUAGAAUGAGAGAGGCCAUUUUGGACCCCUUAGAUUUUCUUCCCAUCUUUACUACAAAUGUAGCUUCUUUGUUGUGCUCUUAAGCAACCUUUUGCCCUCUAUUUAUAGCUUAGCUUUUUUACCUUUUAACAUUAAUAAAAAUCAUAAUGCAUGCAUGGUAAUUAAAAC